AAAGGUUUGGUCCUAGCUUUUUUAUUAAUUGUUAGCAAAUUUAUACAUGCAAGAAUCACCACCCCUGUGAAAAUGCCCUACAAAUCAUCAAUAGAUGAUAAAGGAGCUGGUAUCAAGCACACUUACAUGUAGCUCACAACACCUUGCUUGGCCACACCCCCACGGGAUACAGCAGUAAUUAAAAUUAAGCAAUAAACGAAAGUUUGACUAAGUUAUGCAACCUACCAAGGGCUGGUAAAUCUCGUGCCAGCCACCGCGGUCAUACGAGUAACCCUAAUUAAUAAACUUCGGCGUAAAGAGUGUUAAAAAUAAAGCUAAAAUAAGAUUAAAUCCUGUCUAGGCCGUAAAAAACAAUAGACAGAAGUAAACCCAUAAACGAAAGUAAUCUUAAUAAAUAUGAGUACACUAAAGCUAAGACUCAAACUGGGAUUAGAUACCCCACUAUGCUUAGCCAUAAACAAAAAUAUUUAACAACAAAAAUACUCGCCAGAGAACUACUAGCAAUAGCUUAAAACUCAAAGGACUUGGCGGUGCUUUAAACCCACCUAGAGGAGCCUGUUCUGUAAUCGAUAAACCCCGAUAGACCUCACCACUUCUCGCUAAUUCAGCUUAUAUACCGCCAUCUUCAGCAAACCCUAAUAAGGAAUAAAAGUAAGCACAACUACCCCCAUAAAAACGUUAGGUCAAGGUGUAGCUAAUGAAGUGGGAAGAAAUGGGCUACAUUUUCUCUAAGAGAAAACUUAACGGCAAUCUAUAUGAAAUCUAGAGAUAUAAGGAGGAUUUAGUAGUAAAUUAAGAAUAGAGAGCUUAAUUGAAUUAGGCCAUAAAGCACGCACACACCGCCCGUCACCCUCCUCAAAUAUCUACUCAAAUUUGCUUAAAUUAUAAUAAUAUUAGAGGAGACAAGUCGUAACAAGGUAAGCAUACUGGAAAGUGUGCUUGGAUAAA
Molecule: non-coding RNA, 948 nt
Filed under: Isothrix sinnamariensis
Lineage: Eukaryota; Metazoa; Chordata; Mammalia; Rodentia; Echimyidae
Description: 12S ribosomal RNA
Rfam family: Bacterial small subunit ribosomal RNA
Source: RNAcentral